This 1020-nucleotide ribosomal RNA is filed under the name Eleutheromyces subulatus. RNAcentral's name for it is "SSU rRNA". It matches the Rfam family "Eukaryotic small subunit ribosomal RNA", at positions 75 to 1105 of the family's 1831-position model. RNAcentral also lists the same sequence under 2 other names. Lineage: Eukaryota; Fungi; Ascomycota; Leotiomycetes; Phacidiales; Helicogoniaceae. The record is from RNAcentral.
UAUACCGUGAAACUGCGAAUGGCUCAUUAAAUCAGUUAUCGUUUAUUUGAUAGUACCUUACUACUUGGAUAACCGUGGUAAUUCUAGAGCUAAUACAUGCUGAAAACCUCAACUUCGGGAGAGGUGUAUUUAUUAGAUAAAAAACCAACGCCCUUCGGGGCUUCUUGGUGAUUCAUGAUAACUUUACGGAUCGCAUGGCCUUGCGCCGGCGACGGUUCAUUCAAAUUUCUGCCCUAUCAACUUUCGAUGGUAAGGUAUUGGCUUACCAUGGUUUCAACGGGUAACGGGGAAUUAGGGUUCGAUUCCGGAGAGGGAGCCUGAGAAACGGCUACCACAUCCAAGGAAGGCAGCAGGCGCGCAAAUUACCCAAUCCCGACACGGGGAGGUAGUGACAAUAAAUACUGAUACAGGGCUCUUUUGGGUCUUGUAAUUGGAAUGAGUACAAUUUAAACCUCUUAACGAGGAACAAUUGGAGGGCAAGUCUGGUGCCAGCAGCCGCGGUAAUUCCAGCUCCAAUAGCGUAUAUUAAAGUUGUUGCAGUUAAAAAGCUCGUAGUUGAAACUUGGGUCUGGCUGGCAGGUCCGCCUCACCGCGUGUACUUGUCCGGCCGGGCCUUCCUUCUGGAGAACCUCAUGCCCUUCACUGGGCGUGUUGGGGACCAGGACUUUUACUUUGAAAAAAUUAGAGUGUUCAAAGCAGGCCUUUGCUCGAAUACGUUAGCAUGGAAUAAUAGAAUAGGACGUGCGGUCCUAUUUUGUUGGUUUCUAGGACCGCCGUAAUGAUUAAUAGGGACAGUCGGGGGCAUCAGUAUUCAAUUGUCAGAGGUGAAAUUCUUGGAUUUAUUGAAGACUAACUACUGCGAAAGCAUUUGCCAAGGAUGUUUUCAUUAAUCAGUGAACGAAAGUUAGGGGAUCGAAGACGAUCAGAUACCGUCGUAGUCUUAACCGUAAACUAUGCCGACUAGGGAUCGGGCGAUGUUCUUUUUCUGACUCGCUCGGCACCUUACGAGAAAUCAAAGUU